RNAcentral lists this non-coding RNA (24 nucleotides) under Cricetulus griseus (Chinese hamster). Lineage: Eukaryota; Metazoa; Chordata; Mammalia; Rodentia; Cricetidae. The record is from RNAcentral.
CCUAGUGGAUAUGAUGGAGAGGGG